Cordylochernes scorpioides is the source of this 74-nucleotide non-coding RNA. NCBI's taxonomy places the organism in Eukaryota, Metazoa, Arthropoda, Arachnida, Pseudoscorpiones, Chernetidae. The record is from the annotation of a GenBank genome assembly.
GUGCCCAAUGCGGGAUUCGAACCCGGGUCGUAAUGAUUGGAAACCAACAGUUUAAACCACUCGGCUACCGACCA